ACGGGGUGCAGCAGGCGCGAAACCUUUACAAUGCGGGCAACCGUGAUAAGGGAACCUCGAGUGCCUGUAAACGCAGGCUGUUCAGGUGUUUAAAACGCACCUGGAGAAAGGGCCGGGCAAGACCGGUGCCAGCCGCCGCGGUAAUACCGGCGGCUCGAGUGGUGGCCGCUUUUAUUGGGCUUAAAGCGUUCGUAGCUGGGUUGUUAAGUCUCUUGGGAAAUCUGGCGGCUUAACCGUCAGGCGUCUAAGGGAUACUGGCAAUCUUGGAACCGGGAGAGGUGAGGGGUACUUCGGGGGUAGGAGUGAAAUCCUGUAAUCCUCGAGGGACCACCUGUGGCGAAGGCGCCUCACCAGAACGGCUUCGACAGUGAGGGACGAAAGCUGGGGGAGCAAACCGGAUUAGAUACCCGGGUAGUCCCAGCCGUAAACUAUGCGCGUUAGGUGUAUCGGUGACCACGAGUUACCGAGGUGCCGAAGGGAAACCGUGAAACGUGCCGCCUGGGAAGUACGGUCGCAAGGCUGAAACUUAAAGGAAUUGGCGGGGGAGCAC
RNAcentral lists this ribosomal RNA (550 nucleotides) under uncultured Methanoculleus sp. Its description in RNAcentral is "bacterial SSU rRNA". It matches the Rfam family "Archaeal small subunit ribosomal RNA", at positions 325 to 879 of the family's 1478-position model. Lineage: Archaea; Methanobacteriati; Methanobacteriota; Methanomicrobia; Methanomicrobiales; Methanomicrobiaceae. The record is from RNAcentral.